This 600-nucleotide long non-coding RNA is filed under the name Homo sapiens (human). RNAcentral describes it as "HSALNT0298080". The record is from RNAcentral. Lineage: Eukaryota; Metazoa; Chordata; Mammalia; Primates; Hominidae.
AAGAUUUCCCAGAUACUGAGGACCUCAGUCUCCUCACCACCACGAUUCCUGCACACCGAUGCAUUCCUUUAAAAGGAAAGCAGCUGGAACAUUAAUGGCAAUUCCACUUUCCCAUUCAUCGCCCCCGCCCCCACCACCCCACCAAGAAACUCAGUGGGAAUGAAUGGUCUACACAGAGAAACUGAAAUCUGGUUAGUCAAGAAGGAAAAAACAACCAAGUGCCUGGCAUUAAGAGGAUUUUUUUUUUAAGCUCAGCCUAUGGACAACAAAAGCAUGGACUGUAUUUCUCAGCAUCUUUUGCAGCUUAUUGUUGAAAGUCCAGUGAGCUACCUCAGGCUUUUCUCUGUGGAAUGACUGUUGCAGAGAACUGCACCUCAGAAGAAUGGAGUUUAAAACUGUGAUGACAUUCUACCUCAUUGAAGAAAUCCUCCAGUGCCAAGGGUGGAUCUCUAAAGAAGGAUUCAAUCCAGGAUCACAUCUUAUAUUUACAAUAACAUGCCUUUUUUCUCCUUCAGUCUGGAACCGUGUCUCAGUCUAUCUUUGUUCUUUAUGACAUUGACAUAUUUUAAAGAAUAAAAGCCAAUUCUUUUAUGCACCAUC